CAUGAGUGAUGAUGGAGGAUCAGUGGGACGGGCAAAUGGACAUACCCAGAACAGCCACCUGAUGGUCUUAAUUCUCAUCAAUGUCGUAGAUCCUGUAUUGGUUUAUGCUCACCUUUCGCAGAAGAAAGCAGAUGCGCUCAAUGUUUCUUAGUCUCUCUCGCUGUCAAAGAAAGGUGAGAAAUUCACUAGCAAAACAAUGUUCCGCUCUGCGUAGACACAUCACUCAAGCCACCAGACAAGAUUUUGCUCUUGGUUACAUCAGGGUACAUCCAAAGUAACGCCAUGACACUCAAUGGAAUGACUCUGCAUUUACUGCGGUUAGCGCAGAACAGACUCUGUUGCACUGUGCCUAAGAGGAGUGAGCAAUUCAAAAAACCACAUAUACAAAUUCAAAAAGCUACCUUCAGCCACAAGAUCACUGUAC
Mauremys reevesii (Reeves's turtle) is the source of this 424-nucleotide long non-coding RNA. RefSeq lists it as uncharacterized. The record is from RefSeq and is a predicted model, not a curated record. The transcript has 3 exons. Lineage: Eukaryota; Metazoa; Chordata; Testudines; Geoemydidae.